GAUCUCCUUGUUCAACACCGCAACCACCAGUUUCCCUAGAACACCUAAUAGCCAAAGACCACCAUCAUUCGGCCUCGCUGCUAUGUUCUUUUAAUCACCGCAAUACCAUCGUAGUGACCACCGCCACACCGUUGUUCAUGCCGCACAAACACCACACGCCGUCGCACCUCCGUCUGCCGCCAUUGGUUUGGUCGCCUGAAAGAUCCGAUUCACGAACACCCAAUCGGGUCACAACAGUUACCACCGCAGACCAUCACCGUACCACCGUCAAACGGCCAUUCAACCACCACCGUACUAUUUCAUGGUUGAUUACUGCAAUGCGCUUACAUUAACCGAGCACCGAUACCUUUGUUUUGAAAUUUUUCGGCCACCGUUCGUCACCGUAAGGUUGUCGUAUAUGAUUCGGGUGAGACAUUAUAAAUUUUGUCAAGUUGCGAGCUAAGCUUUUAAGGUAAUCUGGGGUUUCGGUGUGGAGCGUUUGAAAGUUGCUGAUCAAGAUUCCUUAUUUCAGUAAUGUAAUAAAAUGUAAUUACGAUUUUUUUUAUGUUAUGGAUUGGGUUUUAGUUUUGA
This is a long non-coding RNA of Helianthus annuus (common sunflower), 570 nucleotides long. RefSeq lists it as uncharacterized. NCBI's taxonomy places the organism in Eukaryota, Viridiplantae, Streptophyta, Magnoliopsida, Asterales, Asteraceae. The transcript is spliced from 3 exons. The record is from RefSeq and is a predicted model, not a curated record.